Molecule: unclassified non-coding RNA, 307 nt
Filed under: Basidiomycota sp.
Lineage: Eukaryota; Fungi; Basidiomycota
Description: partial contains small subunit ribosomal RNA, internal transcribed spacer 1, and 5.8S ribosomal RNA
Rfam family: Eukaryotic small subunit ribosomal RNA (bases 1-47)
Source: RNAcentral
AAAGUCGUAACAAGGUUUCCGUAGGUGAACCUGCGGAAGGAUCAUUAUUGAAUAAACUUGGUUGGGUUGUGCUGGCUUUUCGGAGCAUGUGCAUGCCUAGCGCCAUUUUUACCACCUGUGCACCUUUUGUAGAUUUGAAACAACUCUCGAGGAAACUCGGUUUGAGGAAUGCUGUGUGCAAACAUGGCUUUCCUUGUGUUUCAAGUCUAUGUUUUUAUUAUACCCCAUAAGAAUGUAAUAGAAUGUUAUUAAUGGGCUUUAUGCCUUUAAAUUAAUACAACUUUCAACAACGGAUCUCUUGGCUCUC